RNAcentral lists this long non-coding RNA (368 nucleotides) under Parus major (Great Tit). RNAcentral's name for it is "lncRNA (ENSPMJG00000004548.1)". The record is from RNAcentral. Lineage: Eukaryota; Metazoa; Chordata; Aves; Passeriformes; Paridae.
GCCCCAGUCCCGCCUUUCCCACCCCCAUUUUUGGGGAACUCUCACCCCCUUUUUGGGGCUGUUUUAUCCUCAUUUUCCAAACUGUUCCAUCCCCAUUCCCAUCCCCAUUCCUGCUUCCCCCACCCCCAUUUUUGGGGAAUUCCCACCCCCAUUUUGGGGAUGUUUAAUCCUCAUUUUUGGGGUUUUCCAAUCCCCACUUCAGCCCUUCCCCACCCCCAUUUUUGGGGGAACUCCCACCCCCUUUUUGGGAAUGUUUAAUCCUCAUUUUCCAAACUGUCCCAUCCCCAUUCCCAUCCCCAUUCCCGCUUUCCCCAGCCCCAUUUUUGGGGAACCCCCAUCCUCAUUUUUGGGGCUGGCCCAUCCCCAUU